RNAcentral lists this ribosomal RNA (253 nucleotides) under uncultured bacterium. Its description in RNAcentral is "partial 16S ribosomal RNA". It matches the Rfam family "Bacterial small subunit ribosomal RNA", at positions 524 to 776 of the family's 1533-position model. The record is from RNAcentral.
UACAGAGGGUGCAAGCGUUAAUCGGAUUUAUUGGGCGUAAAGAGCGUGUAGGCGGCCAUACAGGUCCGUUGUGAAAACUGGAGGCUUAACCUCCAGACGUCGAUGGAAACCGUAUGGCUAGAGUCCGGAAGAGGAGAGUGGAAUUCCUGGUGUAGCGGUGAAAUGCGCAGAUAUCAGGAAGAACACCCGUGGCGAAGGCGGCUCUCUGGGACGGUACUGACGCUGAGACGCGAAAGCGUGGGGAGCGAACAGG